Daphnia pulicaria is the source of this 281-nucleotide long non-coding RNA. RefSeq lists it as uncharacterized. The transcript is spliced from 2 exons. Lineage: Eukaryota; Metazoa; Arthropoda; Branchiopoda; Diplostraca; Daphniidae. The record is from RefSeq and is a predicted model, not a curated record.
UUUGAAGUCAGGAACCCAGAUGGAACAGCUCAGCUACAACAGCACAGCAACUUCUGGAUUACACUGCAACCACAUGCUGCAUACAAGGGUUCAAUCUGUCUUCGUCACACCUUUCACCAUUUGGCUGCAACAAGGUAACCACCAUGUUAAAGAAGCGUUUGUUAUACCUGUUUAAGAAAAGAAAAUUAUUUUCGAGAAACACAACUGUGUACACAUGCAUACUCAUUAUAACAAAAGAAUACAAAGAGUAACAGAAAACUACACAGCCCAACAGAAUAACU